UUUAUUGUGACAAGUCAGUACAAGACUCUGCAGAUCUUGCUUCCUAGACAGGACACAAUUUUGGGUAAAAUUCAUUUAUUUUUUUAUACAGAUGUAUACACAUACACGUAUGGGUGUAUGUGUGUGUGUGUGUGUGUGUGUAUGUGUGCAUGAAUGUGUGGCUAAUUUAUUCAAAAUGGCAUCAGAUACAUUAGUGAAGCACUAUAAAAUUUGCUGCCUCCACCCAAGUGAUGAUAACUGAAUUUAUGUCCUCAACAAAACAGCCAGGGCUCUUCCUUUAUGAAUUCAGCCUGAAAAUUGGAUUUUUGGACUCUGAUCCAGAAUAAUAUUUUAUGCUGCUUUGAUGAGGGUAUUUUAUCAGAGUAACAGGAAAAAAUAAUGAUGCUAAGAGAUAAUAGUGUAAAUAGCUAGAAAGAGGGGCUUUGCUGCUUUUUCAAUUGAAGAUGCACCUUUCUUUGAACCUCUGUGAAGGAGAGUCAUAUCCCCAUGUUAAAUUUUUAAAGAAGAUCACCAAACUUAAGCACCCAAUAUCAUAAUAUUUCUAUGGGCAUAUCUUAGUGAUUCUAUUCUGGCUUCAGCUCCCAUAUGUGCAUCUUUCAUGUUCAUUCAUUUUUACUUGUCCCUUCUACAUCCUUGACCUCUACUGACAUAAAUACAACCUUUGAAAAUUAUAUUCUCCUUGGAGCUGAAGCAGACCUGGUGGUGGUAGAAUGUGGUAUAGAACAGAGGAACUUGAAGAUCAAUUAAGUAUUUUUAGGGAGUAAACCUCCAGUUUUGAAAAUUAUAAAUUAUGUGAUGAAAGAGCAAAAAGAUAUAAAUAGUACCUUGAAACAUCCAAAGAAUAUUAUGAAAUACAUACAGUACACAGUGAGGGAUGAAGGAUUCUCAGGGAACUCACAGGAUUCCUGAUACUGUCAGGCUUUGAUUAAAGUACCUUGGUAGAGCACAGACCACCGAGGUGAAGAUAAGAAACGCGUCCUUCCAGAGACUCCUGACACCACAGUGAUUUUAAGUGUUCUCCAUGUUUACUUCAAGAGCAUUUCAAGAUCAGACUAAGAGUAAACAUUUUUGUAAUAAAUAACAUGCAAAGCCAAACGUGAAAUGAGUAUAAUAGAGACAACACAUAAAAGGGAUACAAAGCUAAAUUUUUUGUAACAUUGUGAUGGACUUUUUGGAUUUGGAAAAGGAUAUGUACACAGAAUCCAUUUGUAAGUAUAAAUCUAAUACAAAGACCUGCUUACUUUCAUUCUAUCUUGGUAGAAGUUCAUUGAGUUCUAUAGAGUUUUCUAUAGAGUCUGAUUCUGAAGAAUUUUAGUGUGUAAUGUAAUUUAUUUGCAAAUUUUUAUGAUACAGUUUAGAAUUUUAUUUUUCAAGUGUGUAUGAAUGAAUAAUACAUAUUUAAAUUUCUGAGAUUAUUUCAGGAGGCCAGUCACCAUUCUUAAUAGGAAUGUAUUCCAAAAAGAAAUAUGAAGAAAAUAGUGAAUAAUAAAAUAAACAUAGCAUUUUUAUAAUACCACUGAAUCAAUUCUUUGACCGAUAAAAAUAUCAUGUUGUCUGAAGUCAGAUAUGUUAUACUCUUCUUUCUCUUGGCUACCUGAGUGCUCUAUGGCUUAUGCUGAGUCCAUUUGAUGAACUGAAAUAAUACUGUAGUUGGCUCCAGCCUUGCAUACCUCUACUGAUUUGCAAGUAGCCAAACAACAGCCCACCUCUGUGAAGAUUUCAUGAAAGGAUGUUUACACUAUGUUCAGAAGCCAUUCUCAGUGAGGAUACCACAUCAAUAUGAGUGUUCUCCCUGAACUCCUAGCGCUACUGCUGCUCUGGUUUUCAGGUAUGAGAUGUGAUAUCCAGAUGAACCAGACUCCAUCCACUCUAUCUGUAUCUAUUGGAGAACGAGUAAUUAGUAAUUGCCAUGCCAGUGAGAUCAUUAAUACUUGGUUAUCCUGGCACCAGCAGAAACCAGGAAUGCUCCACAACUACUCAUCUAUAAGGCAUCCAAUUUGCAUACUGAGGUUCCAUCAAGGUUCAGAGGCAGUGGAUCUGGAACAGAUUACUCUCUCAUCAGCAGCAGCCUCGAGCCUGAAGACAUUGCUACUUAAUACUGUGUACAGGCUAACAGUCUUCCUCCCACAGUGAUAAAAGUGAUAAUACAAACCUCCUAGUGGGUCAACAUUGUAAGUAAGUUCUGCAUCAGUUGUCAAAUGUAGUGUCCGCACCUAUUAAUAUUUAUAAUACCCUCCUGGGUUUAUAAACCAUUUUGACGGUUA
Molecule: non-coding RNA, 2264 nt
Organism: Rattus norvegicus (Norway rat)
Lineage: Eukaryota; Metazoa; Chordata; Mammalia; Rodentia; Muridae
Source: RefSeq, a predicted model, not a curated record